This is a ribosomal RNA of Gorilla gorilla gorilla (western lowland gorilla), 118 nucleotides long. The record is from Ensembl. Lineage: Eukaryota; Metazoa; Chordata; Mammalia; Primates; Hominidae.
GUCUACAGAUAUACCAUCCUGAAUGCACCUAAUCUUGUCUAAUUUUUGAAGCUAGGCAGGGUCAGGCCUGGUUAGGAUUUGGAGGCAGACCACCUGGGAAUACUGGGUAAUGUAGGCU